AUUGAACGCUGGCGGCAGGCCUAACACAUGCAAGUCGAGCGGUAACAGAGAUAGCUUGCUAUCUGCUGACGAGCGGCGGACGGGUGAGUAAUGCUUGGGAACAUGCCUUGAGGUGGGGGACAACAGUUGGAAACGACUGCUAAUACCGCAUAAUGUCUACGGACCAAAGGGGGCUUCGGCUCUCGCCUUUAGAUUGGCCCAAGUGGGAUUAGCUAGUUGGUGAGGUAAUGGCUCACCAAGGCGACGAUCCCUAGCUGGUUUGAGAGGAUGAUCAGCCACACUGGGACUGAGACACGGCCCAGACUCCUACGGGAGGCAGCAGUGGGGAGUAUUGCACAAUGGGCGCAAGCCUGAUGCAGCCAUGCCGCGUGUGUGAAGAAGGCCUUCGGGUUGUAAAGCACUUUCAGUCAGGAGGAAAGGUUAGUAGUUAAUACCUGCUAGCUGUGACGUUACUGACAGAAGAAGCACCGCUAACU
This 476-nucleotide ribosomal RNA is filed under the name uncultured bacterium. RNAcentral describes it as "bacterial SSU rRNA". It matches the Rfam family "Bacterial small subunit ribosomal RNA", at positions 30 to 502 of the family's 1533-position model. The record is from RNAcentral.